GCAUGGAUGCUAACAGAACCUGGGAUGGGGGGCUCUGGAGGCUAUGUUUAGUCCCUAGAUGCCACAGAGCCAGGACAUAAUGCAGCUAAUCUUACACUGGGGUAGGAUGUUGUUCUGACUUUCUGAAAACCAAUUGAAAACUACUAUUUAAUAAUUUGUAACUGGGGCACCUGGAUGGCUCAGUCGGUUGAGCGUCCUACUUCGGCUCAGGUCAUGAUCUCACGGUCUGUGAGUUCGAGCCCCGCAUCGGGCUCUGUGCUGACAGCUCAGAGCCUGGAGCCUGCUUCGGAUUCUGUGCCUCCCUCUCUCUCUGCCCCUCCCCUGCUCAUGCUCUGUCUCUCUCUCUGUCAAUAAUAAAUAACAUUUAAAAAAAUUAUAAAAAAUAAUUUGUAACUCAUGACCAAUUUCACCUCUACCUUUUGUUGAAGGGGUAAGCGAUGUUGCAAUGGAAGCAUGCCCCAAAGCCUUGACAAAUGAACAUGUGACUGGUGAACAGAAACUACAAUUUGUUCCUUUAUUUCUUCCAAUGCUUGCAUUCCUCCUGAGUAACAGGCUCCGCACUGGGUGCUGAACAGCACAAGAGCCCUGGCCCUCGAAGGAAAUGAAGUCUGUCUGGGAAGCAAGGAAGCAACUGGACUCGUACACACAGCCUAGAGCAAGAUGAACCUCUUUGUGAAAAGGAACCUUGUGGUAGACACAGAUGAACAAUGCUCUUUCCUUUUGGAAAUUAACCAGUGAGUAUGAAGUUAAACACCUAUAACCAGAAACAGAGUUAUCUGCUUACGCUCUAGAGUUAUGCAGCAAAGUGAAGAAGAAAAGUGGUUCUGUGGGUGGCAAAGAAUCGAUCUUUGCCAGUGAAGGAGUGGGAGAAAGAGUGAACAAUACAGCGGUGCAUUAUAUCAUCUUGCCUCCCUCUGGCACUCACUACUUAUCUCAGUUACAGGGAAGCCAGUGCUCAUCCCACAAGUGGCCAGUCACUGGAGGCUCCAAGAGGCAAACACAGGCUUCUCCUUGUUUGUGCUUGCGCAGUUAAAUAAACCAAGUCAAAGGCAAAUGACAAACUUGCAGCAUAUAAAACAUACAAAGUAUUCAUAUCCUUAAGGAGUAUUUAUAAACUAAUAAAAAUAUGAACAUUAAAAUAAAAACAUUAUAAAGAAAUUGAAGUGUGCAAACAUGUAUAUCAUCAGGAUAUUUGCUGUACUGCUGUUUAUGACAGUGUAAACAUUAGAUGCAACAUAAAUGUCCCACCAAUAAAAGAGAGUAUGGAUAUUUAAUGGAAUACUAUAUACAUUAAAAAUGGUGAUGUGAACCCUGCAUGGCCAAAACAAUUCUGAAAACCAUUAAGAAAGUUGGAAGACUCCUAUUUCCUAAUUUCAAAAUUUACUACAAAGUUAUGGUAACCAAAACAGUGUGGUACUGGCAUAAAGACAGACAUCUAGAACAAUGGAAUAGAACAGAGAGCCCAGAAAUAAACUCUCACAUUUAUUUAUUUUUUUUUAAAUUUUUAAUGUUUAUUUUUGAGAGAGACAGAGAGAGACAGAGAGACAGAACAUGAGCGGGGGAGGGGCAGAGAGAGAGAGGGAGACACAGAAACCAAAGCAGGCUUCAGGCUCUGAGCUGUCAGCAC
Long non-coding RNA from Panthera uncia (snow leopard), 1627 nucleotides. RefSeq lists it as uncharacterized. Lineage: Eukaryota; Metazoa; Chordata; Mammalia; Carnivora; Felidae. The transcript is spliced from 3 exons. The record is from RefSeq and is a predicted model, not a curated record.